AUACGGAGGGGGCAAGCGUUGUUCGGAAUUACUGGGCGUAAAGGGCGCGUAGGCGGAUUAUCAAGUCAGAGGUGAAAGGCCUGGGCUCAACCUGGGAACUGCCUUUGAAACUGAUAGUCUUGAGUCCGGAAGAGGAUGGCGGAAUUCCCAGUGUAGAGGUGAAAUUCGUAGAUAUUGGGAAGAACACCAGUGGCGAAGGCGGCCAUCUGGUCCGGUACUGACGCUGAGGCGCGAAAGCGUGGGGAGCAAACAGGAUUAGAUACCCCUGUAGUCC
Molecule: ribosomal RNA, 274 nt
Filed under: uncultured bacterium
Lineage: Bacteria
Description: partial 16S ribosomal RNA
Rfam family: Bacterial small subunit ribosomal RNA
Source: RNAcentral